AUGGGAAGUGUUCCAGCAGCCACCCCCAGCGUGCGCGAGAUCUGGCGCGCGCAGCGCGCCGACGGGCCGGCGGCCGUGCUCGCCAUCGGCACGGCGAACCCGGCGCACUGCGUGCCCCAGGACGAGUUCCCGGACUUCUACUUCCGCGCCACCAACAGCGACCACCUCACUGCCCUCAAGGGCAAGUUCAAGAGAGUCUUUCAGAAGCUAGGCGUUGAGAAGCGCUACCUCCACCACACGGAGGAGCUGCUGCGCGCCCACCCCGAGUUCCUCGACGACGAGGCGGCGUCCCUGGACGCCCGGCUGGACAUCGUCGCCACCGCCGUCCCGGAGCUGGCCGCGGAGGCCUCUAAGAAGGCCAUCUCCGAGUGGGGCCGGCCGGCCGCCGACAUCACCCACCUCGUGGUCACCACAAACUCCGGCGCCCACAUCCCGGGCGUCGACUUCCGCCUCAUCCCGCUUCUCGGCCUCCGCCCCUCCGUGCGUCGCACCAUGCUCUACCUCAACGGCUGCUUCGCCGGCUCCGCCGCGCUGCGCCUCGCCAAGGACCUCGCCGAGAACAACCGCGGCGCGCGCGUCCUCGUGGUCUGCGCCGAGCUCACCCUCAUGCUGUUCAACGGGCCCAAGGAGGGCUCCUUCGAGAGGCUCAUCCACCAGGGGCUCUUCGGCGACGGCGCGGGCGCCGUCGUCGUCGGCGCCGACCCGCUGAGCCCCGUCGAGCACGCCCUGUUCGAGAUGGUGUCCGCCGCGCAGACGGUGAUACCGGACUCCGGCGACGCCAUCACCAUGCACAUCACCAAGGGCGGGUUCGGCGGCAACAUCUCCACGAGGGACGUCCCGGUGUUCAUUGGGGACAACGUCGAGCGGUGCCUCCACGACUCGCUGGAGCCGCUCGGCAUCGGCGCGAAAUGGAACGACCUCUUCUGGGCGGUGCACCCCGGGUCGUCUGCCAUUCUGGACCGCAUCGACACGGUGCUCCAGCUCGAGCCGGAGAAGCUGGCGGCGAGCCGCCGGGUGCUGAGCGACUACGGCAACAUGUUCGGCGUGACAAUUAUAUUUGUUCUCGACGAGCUGCGCCGGAGGCUUAGGGAGCAGGAAGGGGCCGGCGGCGCGCCGGAGUGGGGUGUGGUGAUGACCUUCGGGCCGGGGCUCACCGUGGAGACGAUGGUGUUGCACGCCACUGGGCACAUGCAUGCGUCCCCAUGA
RNAcentral lists this ribosomal RNA (1206 nucleotides) under Triticum aestivum (bread wheat). RNAcentral describes it as "partial small subunit ribosomal RNA". Lineage: Eukaryota; Viridiplantae; Streptophyta; Magnoliopsida; Poales; Poaceae. The record is from RNAcentral.